ACGCGACCCCAGGUCAGGCGGGGCUACCCGC
Molecule: ribosomal RNA, 31 nt
Filed under: Cecropia peltata
Lineage: Eukaryota; Viridiplantae; Streptophyta; Magnoliopsida; Rosales; Urticaceae
Also listed under: 2 other names
Description: partial 26S ribosomal RNA
Source: RNAcentral